This 243-nucleotide ribosomal RNA is filed under the name uncultured prokaryote. Its description in RNAcentral is "partial 16S ribosomal RNA". It matches the Rfam family "Bacterial small subunit ribosomal RNA", at positions 526 to 768 of the family's 1533-position model. The record is from RNAcentral.
CGGAGGAUGCAAGCGUUAUCCGGAUUCAUUGGGUUUAAAGGGUGCGUAGGCGGGCUAUUAAGUCAGUGGUGAAAUCCUGCAGCUUAACUGCAGAACUGCAGUUGAUACUGAUAGUCUUGAGUUUGGUUAAGGUAGGCGGAAUGUGCAGUGUAGCGGUGAAAUGCAUAGAUAUUGCACGGAACUCCGAUUGCGUAGGCAGCUUACUAGACCAAUACUGACGCUCAUGCACGAAAGCGUGGGGAU